This 269-nucleotide ribosomal RNA is filed under the name Saccharomyces cerevisiae (brewer's yeast). RNAcentral's name for it is "25S ribosomal RNA". It matches the Rfam family "Eukaryotic large subunit ribosomal RNA", at positions 346 to 631 of the family's 3401-position model. Lineage: Eukaryota; Fungi; Ascomycota; Saccharomycetes; Saccharomycetales; Saccharomycetaceae. The record is from RNAcentral.
AAGUACAGUGAUGGAAAGAUGAAAAGAACUUUGAAAAGAGAGUGAAAAAGUACGUGAAAUUGUUGAAAGGGAAGGGCAUUUGAUCAGACAUGGUGUUUUGUGCCCUCUGCUCCUUGUGGGUAGGGGAAUCUCGCAUUUCACUGGGCCAGCAUCAGUUUUGGUGGCAGGAUAAAUCCAUAGGAAUGUAGCUUGCCUCGGUAAGUAUUAUAGCCUGUGGGAAUACUGCNAGCUGGGACUGAGGACUGCGACGUAAGUCAAGGAUGCUGGCA